RNAcentral lists this non-coding RNA (58 nucleotides) under unclassified sequences. RNAcentral's name for it is "MDR-NUDIX RNA". It matches the Rfam family "MDR-NUDIX RNA". The record is from RNAcentral.
ACUAUGAUCCCGCGGGAUCCUCUACUCGUAUACGUUUGGACGGCCAAACCAAUAGCGA